RNAcentral lists this ribosomal RNA (338 nucleotides) under uncultured marine algae BY-8. RNAcentral's name for it is "partial 16S ribosomal RNA". It matches the Rfam family "Bacterial small subunit ribosomal RNA", at positions 475 to 808 of the family's 1533-position model. The record is from RNAcentral.
ACCUUGAAGUAAUAAGCAUGGGYUAACUCCGUGCCAGCAGCCGMCGGUAAUGACGGUAGGAUGCAAGUGUUAUCCGGAAUCACUGGGCGUAAAGCGUCUGUAGGUGGUUUAAUAAGUUCAACUGUUAAAUCUUGAGGSUUAACUUCAAAAUCGCAGUCGAAACUAUUAGACUAGAGUAUAGUAGGGGUAAAGGGAAUUUCCAGUGGAGCGGUGAAAUGCGUAGAGAUUGGAAAGAACACCGWWGGCGAAGGCACUUUANUGGGCUAUUACUGACACUCAGAGACGAAAGCUAGGGUAGCAAWWGGGAUUAGAUACCCCAGUAGUCCUAGCUGUAAACA